Molecule: ribosomal RNA, 253 nt
Filed under: uncultured bacterium
Lineage: Bacteria
Description: partial 16S ribosomal RNA
Rfam family: Bacterial small subunit ribosomal RNA
Source: RNAcentral
UACGUAGGGUGCGAGCGUUGUCCGGAUUUAUUGGGCGUAAAGGGCUCGUAGGCGGCGUGUCGCGUCGGGAGUGAAAGCCCGUUGCUUAACGGCGGGUUGGCUUUCGGUACGGGCAUGCUGGAGUGCGGCAGGGGAGACUGGAAUUCCUGGUGUAGCGGUGGAAUGCGCAGAUAACAGGAGGAACACCGGUGGCGAAGGCGGGUCUCUGGGCCGUUACUGACGCUGAGGAGCGAAAGCGUGGGGAGCGAACAGG